Molecule: ribosomal RNA, 322 nt
Filed under: uncultured eukaryote
Lineage: Eukaryota
Description: partial 18S ribosomal RNA
Rfam family: Eukaryotic small subunit ribosomal RNA
Source: RNAcentral
CCCUUAGAUGUCCUGGGCUGCACGCGCGCUACACUGAUACAUACAACGUGAUAAUCUUCCUUGCUCGAAGGAGUUGGGUGUUCAUUUAAUAUGUAUCGUGAUGGGGAUAGACUAUUGUAAUUAUUAGUCUUGAACGAGGAAUUCCUAGUAAGUAUACGUCAUUAGCGUAUGCUGAUUACGUCCCUGCCCUUUGUACACACCGCCCGUCGCACCUACCGAUUGAAUGGUCCGGUGAAAUCUCGGGACGGCGGCUUGGUCGCUUGCGUCCGACUGCUGAAACUUGAUUAAACCAUAUCAUUUAGAGGAAGGUGAAGUCGUAACA